Tyto alba (common barn owl) is the source of this 772-nucleotide long non-coding RNA. RefSeq lists it as uncharacterized. Lineage: Eukaryota; Metazoa; Chordata; Aves; Strigiformes; Tytonidae. The transcript has 2 exons. The record is from RefSeq and is a predicted model, not a curated record.
CUGAAAGGCUUGUUGCAAAGCACCGUUAGGUCCCCAGAGGAGGAGGUCUGAAGACUGGACAGUAUUGGCUUAGGUGCUACAGUGGCAAAGCUACAGGAAGACAAGUCCACAGCCAGUACCAUGAAGAUCCCAUGAUGUCUGUUUUGUAACUUUUUAGGAGUCCCGGACCAUGCCAUAACCUUCUUCUUGUGAAAAUGUUUGAUCAAGGGAAUAUUGUUCAACAACACCAUGUUCUUUAACAAGUUCUUUAGCAAGACGGACACAUUAAAGACAAGAGACUGCAGAAGAGACAUGCAUUUCAUGAGAAUUAUGAUCAUUGGAGCAAAUGCCACAUAAAAUAAAAAGUCCUUCAUCUCUUCAGGGUCACGUUGCUAGCUACUUGUAUCACUGUAACAAGCAAUUCUAAACUGCUUAUAACAAUCCAGUAUAGUUCUCUUGAAGAACAAAGGGCACUUCACUUUGAAAGCAGUUUAAAUCUAGCCCCAAAAAUGUGGCUGUUUCUAUCCUGUAAAACCAAAGAUGUCACGGUGAAACUAUACUAGUAUCAAAACAAAUACAGCAGAAUCACUGAAGUGAGGAGAAAGAGCCAUAGAGAUAAGCAAAGUAUUAAAGCUGCCAACCAAGGACAAGACAACUUUUAAAGGGCAAUUACAGAGAACACAACCUAGAAUUAUUAUUUUCUUUUAGAAAAGUUGUUUCUUUAGCUGUAUCACAGAUUUCCUGAUGGGCAUGUGAACCUUAAUAAAAUAUGAAAAUACUAGUAUACCAGCAA